ACGGCUCAGUAACACGUGGAUAACCUGCCCUUGGGUCCGGCAUAACCCCGGGAAACUGGGGAUAAUUCCGGAUAACGCAUAUCUGCUGGAAUGCUUUAUGCGUAAAAUGGAUUCGUCUGCCCAAGGAUGGGUCUGCGGCCUAUCAGGUAGUAGUGGGUGUAAUGGACCUACUAGCCAACAACGGGUACGGGUUGUGAGAGCAAGAGCCCGGAGAUGGAUUCUGAGACAUGAAUCCAGGCCCUACGGGGCGCAGCAGGCGCGAAAACUUUACAAUGCGGGAAACCGUGAUAAGGGGACACCGAGUGCCAGCAUCAUAUGCUGGCUGUCCAGGUGUGUAAAAUACACCUGUUAGCAAGGGCCGGGCAAGACCGGUGCCAGCCGCCGCGGUAACACCGGCGGCCCGAGUGGUGAUCGUGAUUAUUGGGUCUAAAGGGUCCGUAGCCGGUUUGGUCAGUCCUCCGGGAAAUCUGACAGCUCAACUGUUAGGCUUUCGGGGGAUACUGCCAGACUUGGAACCGGGAGAGGUAAGAGGUACUACAGGGGUAGGAGUGAAAUCUUGUAAUCCCUGUGGGACCACCUGUGGCGAAGGCGUCUUACCAGAACGGGUUCGACGGUGAGGGACGAAAGCUGGGGGCACGAACCGGAUUAGAUACCCGGGCAGUCCCAGCCGUAAACGAUGCUCGCUAGGUGUCAGGCAUGGCGCGACCGUGUCUGGUGCCGCAGGGAAGCCGUGAAGCGAGCCACCUGGGAAGUACGGCCGCAAGGCUGAAACUUAAAGGAAUUGGCGGGGGAGCAC
This 796-nucleotide ribosomal RNA is filed under the name uncultured archaeon. RNAcentral describes it as "bacterial SSU rRNA". It matches the Rfam family "Archaeal small subunit ribosomal RNA", at positions 85 to 879 of the family's 1478-position model. The record is from RNAcentral.